This 621-nucleotide ribosomal RNA is filed under the name uncultured Lachnospiraceae bacterium. RNAcentral's name for it is "bacterial SSU rRNA". It matches the Rfam family "Bacterial small subunit ribosomal RNA", at positions 69 to 704 of the family's 1533-position model. The record is from RNAcentral. Lineage: Bacteria; Bacillati; Bacillota; Clostridia; Lachnospirales; Lachnospiraceae.
AGAUUCUUCGGAUGAUUGAUUGGUGACUGAGUGGCGGACGGGUGAGUAACGCGUGGGUAACCUGCCCUGUACAGGGGGAUAACAGUUGGAAACGGCUGCUAAUACCGCAUAAGCGCACGAGAGGACAUCCUCUUGUGUGAAAAACUCCGGUGGUACAGGAUGGGCCCGCGUCUGAUUAGCUGGUUGGCAGGGUAACGGCCUACCAAGGCGACGAUCAGUAGCCGGUCUGAGAGGAUGAACGGCCACAUUGGAACUGAGACACGGUCCAAACUCCUACGGGAGGCAGCAGUGGGGAAUAUUGCGCAAUGGGGGAAACCCUGAUGCAGCAACGCCGCGUGAGUGAAGAAGUAUUUCGGUAUGUAAAGCUCUAUCAGCAGGGAAGAUAAUGACGGUACCUGACUAAGAAGCUCCGGCUAAAUACGUGCCAGCAGCCGCGGUAAUACGUAUGGAGCAAGCGUUAUCCGGAUUUACUGGGUGUAAAGGGUGCGUAGGUGGCAGUGCAAGUCAGAUGUGAAAGGCCGGGGCUCAACCCCGGAGCUGCAUUUGAAACUGCAUAGCUGGAGUACAGGAGAGGCAGGCGGAAUUCCUAGUGUAGCGGUGAAAUGCGUAGAUAUUAGGAGG